CUGCAGUGAUGAGCUUCCACUUCGGUCCGUGUUUCUGAAUCCUGAUACCCAACAGAAGUUCUGAGUUU
RNAcentral lists this small nucleolar RNA (68 nucleotides) under Esox lucius (northern pike). RNAcentral's name for it is "Small nucleolar RNA SNORD18 (ENSELUG00000037417.1)". It matches the Rfam family "Small nucleolar RNA SNORD18". From Rfam's summary of the family: U18 is a member of the C/D class of snoRNA which contain the C (UGAUGA) and D (CUGA) box motifs. It is encoded in introns of ribosomal protein L1 in Xenopus and human, and in introns of elongation factor 1 beta in yeast. Related snoRNAs in Arabidopsis and rice have been named R63 and Z106 respectively. Lineage: Eukaryota; Metazoa; Chordata; Actinopteri; Esociformes; Esocidae. The record is from Rfam by way of RNAcentral.